This 231-nucleotide ribosomal RNA is filed under the name Klebsiella pneumoniae. Its description in RNAcentral is "partial 23S ribosomal RNA". It matches the Rfam family "Bacterial large subunit ribosomal RNA", at positions 2718 to 2925 of the family's 2925-position model. Lineage: Bacteria; Pseudomonadati; Pseudomonadota; Gammaproteobacteria; Enterobacterales; Enterobacteriaceae. The record is from RNAcentral.
GGGUUGUCAUGCCAAUGGCACUGCCCGGUAGCUAAAUGCGGAAGAGAUAAGUGCUGAAAGCAUCUAAGCACGAAACUUGCCCCGAGAUGAGUUCUCCCUGAGACUUUAAGUCUCCUGAAGGAACGUUGAAGACGACGACGUUGAUAGGCCGGGUGUGUAAGCGCAGCGAUGCGUUGAGCUAACCGGUACUAAUGAACCGUGAGGCUUAACCUUACAACGCCGAAGGUGUUU